RNAcentral lists this ribosomal RNA (273 nucleotides) under uncultured Ascomycota. Its description in RNAcentral is "partial 18S ribosomal RNA". It matches the Rfam family "Eukaryotic small subunit ribosomal RNA", at positions 548 to 827 of the family's 1831-position model. The record is from RNAcentral. Lineage: Eukaryota; Fungi; Ascomycota.
UUGGAGGACAAGUCUGGUGCCAGCAGCCGCGGUAAUUCCAGCUCCAAUAGCGUAUAUUAAAGUUGUUGUGGUUAAAAAGCUCGUAGUUGAACCUUGGGCCUGGCUGGCCGGUCCGCCUCACCGCGUGCACUGGUCCGGCCGGGCCUUUCCCUCUGCGGAACCCCAUGCCCUUCACUGGGUGUGGCGGGGAAACAGGACUUUUACUUUGAAAAAAUUAGAGUGCUCAAGGCAGGCCUAUGCUCGAAUACAUUAGCAUGGAAUAAUAGAAUAGGA